Molecule: long non-coding RNA, 211 nt
Filed under: Homo sapiens (human)
Lineage: Eukaryota; Metazoa; Chordata; Mammalia; Primates; Hominidae
Description: non-protein coding lnc-MED13-3:2
Source: RNAcentral
GCAUCCCUUCAUUGUGGAUUUAACUUAUGCCUUUCAGACUGGUGGAAAACUCUACCUCAUCCUUGAGUAUCUCAGUGGAGGAGAACUAUUUAUGCAGUUAGAAAGAGAGGGAAUAUUUAUGGAAGACACUGCCUGCUUUUACUUGGCAGAAAUCUCCAUGGCUUUGGGACAUUUACAUCAAAAGGGGAUCAUAUACAGAGACCUGAAGCCG